GCGCCUGUAGCUCAGUCGGUCAGAGCGCCAAGCUUAUACCUUGGUGGUCGUA
This 52-nucleotide transfer RNA is filed under the name Candidatus Berkelbacteria bacterium CG10_big_fil_rev_8_21_14_0_10_43_14. Its description in RNAcentral is "tRNA-Ile". It matches the Rfam family "tRNA", at positions 1 to 49 of the family's 71-position model. From Rfam's summary of the family: Transfer RNA (tRNA) molecules are approximately 80 nucleotides in length. The record is from RNAcentral. Lineage: Bacteria; Candidatus Berkelbacteria.